UUCUCUGCAAGGGGCCACAGUGGGGUC
RNAcentral lists this non-coding RNA (27 nucleotides) under Homo sapiens (human). Lineage: Eukaryota; Metazoa; Chordata; Mammalia; Primates; Hominidae. The record is from RNAcentral.